This 52-nucleotide microRNA precursor is filed under the name Tupaia belangeri chinensis (Chinese tree shrew). RNAcentral's name for it is "Tupaia chinensis (Chinese tree shrew) mir-1302 microRNA precursor family". It matches the Rfam family "mir-1302 microRNA precursor family". The record is from Rfam by way of RNAcentral. Lineage: Eukaryota; Metazoa; Chordata; Mammalia; Scandentia; Tupaiidae.
UUUUUAGCAUAAGUAUGUCCCAUGCCAUGUGCAGGAUAUACUUAUGCUAAAA